Molecule: small nucleolar RNA, 104 nt
Organism: Callithrix jacchus (white-tufted-ear marmoset)
Lineage: Eukaryota; Metazoa; Chordata; Mammalia; Primates; Cebidae
Source: Ensembl
AUCCUUUUGUAGUGCAUGAGUGUGAUGACUGGGUGUUCAUGGGCAUGUGUGAGAUGUGCCACCCUUGAACCUUCUUACAAUGUUGCUACAUUACCAUUCUGAGA